UACAGAGGUCUCGAGCGUUGUUCGGAUUCAUUGGGCGUAAAGGGUGCGUAGGCGGUCUAUUAAGUCAGCGGUGAAAUACUCCAGCUUAACUGGAGGGGUGCCAUUGAUACUGAUGGACUUGAGUCAAGUCGAGGUAGGCGGAAUUGACGGUGUAGCGGUGAAAUGCUUAGAUAUCGUCAAGAACACCAAUAGUGAAGACAGCUUACUGGGCUUAAACUGACGCUGAGGCACGAAAGUGUGGGGAUCAAACAGG
Molecule: ribosomal RNA, 253 nt
Filed under: uncultured bacterium
Lineage: Bacteria
Description: partial 16S ribosomal RNA
Rfam family: Bacterial small subunit ribosomal RNA
Source: RNAcentral